CCGCCGGGUAGAGGCGAGGCACAGGGAGGAUACAGCGGGGAGCUCCAAGAGCACGGAGGGCGGUGCAGAUGGAGCUUCUUCCUUUAAAACCGGCUAAAAAGACAGCAGCCAAUUAUGCUAAUUCCACAUUAGGGCUGCAGAGCCGACAAGCGGCGAAUGGUGAACGUUAAGACCCUCCAGCCACACGCGCUGUUCUCCGGUGCACCGGGAACACCGACCCCAGCGCUCGCUUGGAGGAACCCCCAUUUUAAGCACAACGCCCUCCUGACUCAAGGACAAGAGGUACAGAAACUCAAACGGGGAUUCUGCCACUGACAGGAUUUCUUCAACAGGACUACAACCUGCACUGUAACCAUCUGUCUCUGCAGACUCAAGAAACUCUGGCAAUAGCUAAUCCACCAUCCACUAUUUUACAUAUGUGGAUAUUUAAGGAAUCAAAAGUGUGAGCACCAAGCAACCAACCAAUGCUCCCAGCACGUUUAAACGAGAGUGCUUAAUUUACUACGGUAAGGCCCUUUUUAAAUAAACGCGUGACUCACUGUUUGUUUUCUUCA
This is a non-coding RNA of Taeniopygia guttata (zebra finch), 554 nucleotides long. Lineage: Eukaryota; Metazoa; Chordata; Aves; Passeriformes; Estrildidae. The record is from RefSeq and is a predicted model, not a curated record.